GAAAAUGCUGUGCAAUCUUUCCUACUGGGAUCACACUCCUGGCAGAUACUGUUGAUCAAUCAUAUCCUUGAAGGCCAUUCCUUUUUGCAUGGUCCAUUUUUUCCCCUGGCAUCAAAUUAUUUGUUCUGUAAAUCGUCCUAGGUUGUAGGGUUUAAUAUUGUCUAUUACUUGCUCCCGUCAAAUUAUUUUGUUGUACUGCAACCUUUUACUAAUUAAUAUACAUGUACGGAC
RNAcentral lists this unclassified non-coding RNA (231 nucleotides) under Hevea brasiliensis (rubber tree). The record is from RNAcentral. Lineage: Eukaryota; Viridiplantae; Streptophyta; Magnoliopsida; Malpighiales; Euphorbiaceae.